This 492-nucleotide ribosomal RNA is filed under the name uncultured bacterium. RNAcentral's name for it is "partial 16S ribosomal RNA". It matches the Rfam family "Bacterial small subunit ribosomal RNA", at positions 29 to 507 of the family's 1533-position model. The record is from RNAcentral.
AGUGAACGCUGGCGGUAGGCCUAACACAUGCAAGUCGAACGGCAGCACAGUAAGAGCUUGCUCUUACGGGUGGCGAGUGGCGGACGGGUGAGGAAUACAUCGGAAUCUACUUUUUCGUGGGGGAUAACGUAGGGAAACUUACGCUAAUACAGCAUACGACCUUCGGGUGAAAGCAGGGGAUCUUCGGACCUUGCGCGAUUGAAUGAGCCGAUGUCGGAUUAGCUAGUUGGCGGGGUAAAGGCCCACCAAGGCGACGAUACGUAGCUGGUCUGAGAGGAUGAUCAGCCACACUGGAAGUUGAACACGGUCCUGGCUCCUGCGGUAGGCCGCAGUGGGGAAUGGUGGACAGUGGGCGCAAGCCUUAUCCAGCCGUACCGCGUUGGUGAAGAAGGCCUUCGGGUUGUAAAGCCCUUUUGUUGGGAGAGAAAAGCAGCAGGUUAAUACCCCGCUGUUCUGGCGGUACCCAAUGAAUAAGCACCGGCUAACUACGUG